RNAcentral lists this unclassified non-coding RNA (379 nucleotides) under soil metagenome. Its description in RNAcentral is "partial contains 5.8S ribosomal RNA, internal transcribed spacer 2, and large subunit ribosomal RNA". The stretch from base 1 to 120 matches the Rfam family "5.8S ribosomal RNA", at positions 35 to 154 of the family's 154-position model. The record is from RNAcentral.
GAUGAAGAACGUAGCGAAAUGCGAUAAGUAAUGUGAAUUGCAGAAUUCAGUGAAUCAUCGAAUCUUUGAACGCACCUUGCACCCUUUGGCAUUCUGAAGGGUAUGCUCGUUUGAGUGUCAUUGUACUCUCACACUCCCGAUCUUUGCAUUGGGAGCAGUGGACUUGGGUUUGCUGCUUCACCGUCGCUUACCUCAAAUAGGUUAGUGCAACUCUUGGUUGGACAUAGUACGGCGUGUUAGUGUUCUUCGCCGGUGCCUCGCAAAGAGGGUGGCCGAUCGGGAUGUUGUGCUCCAAACCGUCUUCGGACAAUCUCUGACGACUUGACCUCAAAUCGAGUAAGACUACCCGCUGAACUUAAGCAUAUCAAUAAGCGGAGGA